RNAcentral lists this ribosomal RNA (491 nucleotides) under uncultured bacterium. RNAcentral's name for it is "partial 16S ribosomal RNA". It matches the Rfam family "Bacterial small subunit ribosomal RNA", at positions 29 to 506 of the family's 1533-position model. The record is from RNAcentral.
AGUGAACGCUGGCGGUAGGCCUAACACAUGCAAGUCGAACGGCAGCACAGUAAGAGCUUGCUCUUACGGGUGGCGAGUGGCGGACGGGUGAGGAAUACAUCGGAAUCUACUUUUUCGUGGGGGAUAACGUAGGGAAACUUACGCUAAUACCGCAUACGACCUACGGGUGAAAGCAGGGGAUCUUCGGACCUUGCGCGACUGAAUGAGCCGAUGUCGGAUUAGCUAGUUGGCGGGGUAAAGGCCCACCAAGGCGACGAUCCGUAGCUGGUCUGAGAGGAUGAUCAGCCACACUGGAACUGAGACACGGUCCAGACUCCUACGGGAGGCAGCAGUGGGGAAUAUUGGACAAUGGGCGCAAGCCUGAUCCAGCCAUACCGCGUGGGUGAAGAAGGCCUUCGGGUUGUAAAGCCCUUUUGUUGGGAAAGAAAAGCAGCAGGUUAAUACCCCGCUGUUCUGACGGUACCCAAAGAAUAAACACCGGCGAACUUCGU